RNAcentral lists this unclassified non-coding RNA (265 nucleotides) under Ascomycota sp. RNAcentral describes it as "partial contains small subunit ribosomal RNA, internal transcribed spacer 1, and 5.8S ribosomal RNA". The stretch from base 1 to 47 matches the Rfam family "Eukaryotic small subunit ribosomal RNA", at positions 1785 to 1831 of the family's 1831-position model. Lineage: Eukaryota; Fungi; Ascomycota. The record is from RNAcentral.
AAAGUCGUAACAAGGUUUCCGUAGGUGAACCUGCGGAAGGAUCAUUACAAAUCCAUCCACGUCUCUCUUCGAGACCACGUUGAAAUGUUCCCCGGACCAGGAGGGUCUCUCUUCCCUUUCGGGCCGCCCUGGUGCGCCUGCCUGGGAGAGCAGCCCCCCCCCUGGCCUGGGCUGUGAAACGAGUGUUACCUUGUUGCCCAAAUGUAUCUUGAUUUCAAUCAAACGAAAACUUGUACAACUUAUAACAAUGGAUCUCUAGGCUCUU